Molecule: ribosomal RNA, 429 nt
Filed under: uncultured bacterium
Lineage: Bacteria
Description: bacterial SSU rRNA
Rfam family: Bacterial small subunit ribosomal RNA
Source: RNAcentral
UAAGGAAUUUUCGGCAAUGGGGGCAACCCUGACCGAGCAACGCCGCGUGAGUGAUGAAGGUCUUCGGAUCGUAAAACUCUGUUGUAAAGGAAGAAUGUCAUAUAUAGGAAAUGAUAUAUGAGUGACGGUACUUUACUAGAAAGUCACGGCUUACUACGUGCCAGCAGCCGCGGUAAUACGUAGGUGGCAAGCGUUAUCCGGAUUUAUUGGGCGUAAAGGGUGCGCAGGCGGUCUGUUAAGUUUGGUGUGAAAGCGUGGGGCUCAACCCCAUACAGCAUCGAAUACUGGCAGACUAGAGUGCAGAAGAGGGUAAUGGAACUCCAUGUGUAGCGGUAAAAUGCGUAGAUAUAUGGAAGAACACCAGCGGCGAAGGCGGUUACCUGGUCUGUAACUGACGCUCAGGCACGAAAGCGUGGGGAGCAAAUAGGA